AUGUCCCCUUACUUGUUUGUUAUUGCCAUUAAUGAACUUUUGAUUGCUCUUAAUGAGGCGCUUCAGGCUAACCAUUUGCAGGGUAUUUCUCUUGGUCCAAGUUGCCCUUCGGUUCAUUCCCUUCUAUUUGCAGAUGACCUUUUGGUUUGUGGUCAGGCCACCCAUCAUGAAGCUCAGACUAUGGCGAAUCUUAUUCAGCAAUUUUGUGAUCUCUCUGGCCAAACUCCCAACUGGAGCAAAUCUGCAACCUUGUUUAGCUUGCAUGUUUCUCAGGCUACUAUUCAAGACAUUAAGCAUAUUUUCCCUGUUUCUAAUCUUGAUGCUAAUUUCACUCAUCUUGGUCAUCCUCUCAUUCUCCCUGCUAAUAAUAGAUUGGCUGCUUACAAUUUUGUUCUUGAUAAAUUUUUAAAUAAGCUGCCUUCUUACAAAGCAAACAUGCUCUCUCAUGCUGCUAGACUUGAACUAAUUCGCUCAGUUUUCUCGGCUAUUCCUGUUUAUUACAUGGCAAAUAUCUUGUUUUCUAAGAAAUUCAUUGCUAAACUCACGGCUGUUAUAAGAAACUUCUGGUGGACAGGUGUUCGAGAGACUGACUCUAAAAAGAGUCUUUGCCUUAGGGCCUGGAAAGAUAUUUGUAAUUCUAAAACAGAAGGUGGCUUGGGUAUUAGGAAGCUUAAAGCAAUUAAUGAAAGCCUCAUUCUCUCAGCUGCUUGGAGGUUAGCUAAAGCCCCUUCUUCUCAUCUAUACCUUGUGCUUAAGGCUAAAUACUUCCCUGAUACUUCAAUUUGGAGAGCCACUACAACCCUUCCUAAAUCUGCUUUUUGGGCCUCUAUUUUGAAAAUGUUGCCUAAGCUGACAUGUCAUGCUUUUUAUCAACUCACGAGUGGUAAUCUUUCUUUAUGGAGCAUGCCUUGGUGUAAUUUGUGGCAUACUAUUUAUGAUUCUCUUAUUCCCCAACAAGCUGGUUUUAUUUACCCCUCUCUUGUUAGGGAGCUUUGGCUGCCUGGUCAAAAAAGUUGGAAUCAUGAUCUCAUAUUUUCUCUUUUCCAGCAGCCUCUUGCGUCUCAAAUUGUUAACACUGAAAUUAUUGAUGAUGAUGGUCCGGAUUUGCUGUGUUGGGAUCUCACCCCAAAUGGUAUUUGCUCUUCUAAAUCUGCUUACAAGCUUUGCCUCCAGGAGCUUCAUAAUAAUCCUAGAAAUGCCCCUAUGGAUAUUCCUUUGGAUUUGAAAGACUUUCUCAAGCUCAUUUGGAAGCAAAAAAAUUUGCUCCCUCGUGUUCAAACUUUUGCUUGGAGACUUCUUCGUAGGGCUUUGCCUACGGGCAUGAGAGCUGGCCGCUUCUCUGUUCACAUCUCUCCAUCUUGUUGUAGAUGCGGACAGCAGGAGGAUGAAUUUCACCUCUUUUUCUCUGCGACUUCGCGAGAGCAGCUUGGUUUUCUUCGCCUUGGUUUAUUCGAGCGGAUGUUCUUACUCAAGGGCACUCUUCUAUGCAUUCCAUUCUCAUCUUUCUUAUUAAUAUGA
RNAcentral lists this ribosomal RNA (1518 nucleotides) under Triticum aestivum (bread wheat). Its description in RNAcentral is "partial small subunit ribosomal RNA". The record is from RNAcentral. Lineage: Eukaryota; Viridiplantae; Streptophyta; Magnoliopsida; Poales; Poaceae.